Long non-coding RNA from Macadamia integrifolia, 919 nucleotides. RefSeq lists it as uncharacterized. Lineage: Eukaryota; Viridiplantae; Streptophyta; Magnoliopsida; Proteales; Proteaceae. The transcript has 2 exons. The record is from RefSeq and is a predicted model, not a curated record.
UUUUGAUUUGAUCUUAGAUCUAGGUUGAGGGUACGUGAUUGGACCUUAGACAAGUGAUUUGAGUUUCCGGAUUGUCCCUAAACAAGUUCCCUAAGCAGAAGGAAAGUCGGGAAUGAUGUUGGAAAAAUUUCGUUCAAAUACUGGGGGUAUUUUUACUCCACCUGUCUUUUGGUUUUAGCCCACUUGAGUUCCCAAAACUCAAUUUCUAGGCUCUGGAAUAACCGAUGGGAUACAUAGCCCACCGGUCUUCUGGUUUUAGCCCACCUGAGUUCCCAGAACUCAGUUUCUAGACUCUGGAGUAACUGACAGGCUGAAGCAGCCCACAGUCUUUGGCUCUAGCUCACCUGUCUUUCAAGAAUUCCCAGAAUUAGCCCAAAUUUGAUGGGUUACCCCCAUUUAUGAUUCUAAACCCAAUAUUAGUGUUCAAACAUGAUGAUUUUGACCUCAAAAUAGUGAAAUGAUAAACCAUUAUGUCUAUGAUAGGUUACACUCAACAUACAAGUACCCACAUAUUGGAUCUUUUUCGUACUGGGUACAAGCACCGUGUACAUAUACAAGUGAUUUUGCAAGUUACCCGCCUGGUGAUUAGGAGCUGGGCUCCACUGUAGAGUUUCCAUCUGAGGACUGGUGGGUCCCUGAUGAGUUCGAGCACGAUGUCGAUUGCACGUGCGAGGAUUAUGCUGCAUGGCAACUGUGACUUCUGAGUGAUUCUUUUUUAUUCUUUUGAUGUACUCCCUUUUGUUACUUGAUGCUUAAAUUAUUAUGUUUUUGUAUAUAUAUCAUGCCUUCGGGCCUAAAUGUAUGUAACUUUUAUAACUCAAUUUUGGUAUCAUUUCACCUUCGCAAGUUGUAAUCCAUAUAGAAAACUCCUGGUGCUUGCUUCAAUAGAGUUUCCUGUCAUCAAAUAGUUUACAGACAA